This 251-nucleotide ribosomal RNA is filed under the name uncultured bacterium. Its description in RNAcentral is "partial 16S ribosomal RNA". It matches the Rfam family "Bacterial small subunit ribosomal RNA", at positions 78 to 334 of the family's 1533-position model. The record is from RNAcentral.
CUAAAGAUGGCGACCGGCGCACGGGUGAGUAACACGUAUCCAACCUGCCGAUAACUCGGGGAUAGCCUUUCGAAAGAAAGAUUAAUACCCGAUGGUAUAAUCAGACCGCAUGGUCUUGUUAUUAAAGAAUUUCGGUUAUCGAUGGGGAUGCGUUCCAUUAGGCAGUUGGUGAGGUAACGGCUCACCAAACCUUCGAUGGAUAGGGGUUCUGAGAGGAAGGUCCCCCACAUUGGAACUGAGACACGGUCCAA